RNAcentral lists this ribosomal RNA (492 nucleotides) under uncultured bacterium. RNAcentral describes it as "partial 16S ribosomal RNA". It matches the Rfam family "Bacterial small subunit ribosomal RNA", at positions 29 to 507 of the family's 1533-position model. The record is from RNAcentral.
AGUGAACGCUGGCGGUAGGCCUAACACAUGCAAGUCGAACGGCAGCACAGUAAGAGCUUGCUCUUACGGGUGGCGAGUGGCGGACGGGUGAGGAAUACAUCGGAAUCUACUUUUUCGUGGGGGAUAACGUAGGGAAACUUACGCUAAUACCGCAUACGACCUACGGGUGAAAGCAGGGGAUCUUCGGACCUUGCGCGAUUGAAUGAGCCGAUGUCGGAUUAGCUAGUUGGCGGGGUAAAGGCCCACCAAGGCGACGAUCCGUAGCUGGUCUGAGAGGAUGAUCAGCCACACUGGAACUGAGACACGGUCCAGACUCCUACGGGAGGCAGCAGUGGGGAAUAUUCGACAAAGGGCGCAAGCCUGAUCCAGCCAUACCGCGUGGGUGAAGAAGGCCUUCGGGUUGUAAAGCCCUUUUGUUGGGAAAGAAAAGCAGCAGGUUAAUACCCCGCUGUUCUGACGGUACCCAAAGAAUAAGCACCGGCUAACUUCGUG